AAAGGAUUGAUUUACUGGUUUCAUUGAUUUAUUUUUGCUUUGAAAUUCUAUACCGUAAUUAAAGCUUUUAGCUACAUACUAAAGUAUAAUAUGUUUUUAUAGGCUAGGAAAAACUUUAAACUGUCCAUGAUUAAGUUCACAGAAAACACCAACACGAAAAAUGUUCAAACUGCUUUGGAUAAUGACAAUCUGUUGUUCAUAAGUUACUAUUUCCUCGGAACUAUUGCUGUUUUGGUGAGCAUUGGUCUCUCUUGGGAUUAUUGGAAUUAUCGAAAAAGAAAGCAAUCUGAAAAUCCUGCUCAAAAUGGUGAAAUUGAAGUGUUUGAUGGCUCAAACCCUGACUUUCACGAUAUUCCUCUCAACUCUCAGUCGGGAGAGUUUGCUCAAACACAAUUGCACAGAUCUUCACCCAAUUUGGAGCACAGAAUGGCCAUACCACUUACCAAGAUACACAGCGAGCCUGCUUCUAGCAGUGUAUAGUUUCAGAUAAGUUUAUCGUCGUGGCCAGUGUUAAUUGCAAGGUGAAUUUAUCAUAUAUAGAAAGAAUAAAAAAGAAUUUCUUCUUGUUUUUA
Long non-coding RNA from Xenia sp. Carnegie-2017, 572 nucleotides. RefSeq lists it as uncharacterized. The record is from RefSeq and is a predicted model, not a curated record. The transcript has 2 exons. Lineage: Eukaryota; Metazoa; Cnidaria; Anthozoa; Malacalcyonacea; Xeniidae.